AAUUAUUAGUGUUAAUUGUAGCGCAUCUCAAUUAAAUAUUGCAACCUAUUUUAUUAAAAAU
Molecule: small RNA, 61 nt
Filed under: Staphylococcus aureus
Lineage: Bacteria; Bacillati; Bacillota; Bacilli; Caryophanales; Staphylococcaceae
Rfam family: RNA Staph. aureus A
Source: RNAcentral